UGAAACGGAUCCAAGAGCUCAACAAAACGCACUAAAUAAAAUAGAACUGGCGAUUGUGAAACUGAAUGACGUGAACAUAAAACGCCUUGAAUCAUAAAAAUUCCUUUUAAAAUUCUAACAUUCCAACGAUCCCAACCUCUAACAGCUAUUUAAAAGUGUUUGGGAUCGAUCGAAAUGACGUGUAAAAUGAGAAAUUUAAGUGUAAACAGAUCUUUUUGUGGUUAUUGAUAUUUUUAUCCGUUUAACGGAAAUUGUGUUUUGUUCGUGACAACCCUGAUUGCAUUGUUUAUUCCGCGAUUUUAACCUAGAUCUUAAUAAAAUGCACCCGAGUAGGCGGAGAAAGAAGCGUACCAGCUAUGGAAUAAGGACAGUGGAAGUGAUGAGGGGGCCUAAUGGAUUUGGAUUCACGAUAUCCGGACAGCACCCAUGCAUUAUAAAAUGUAUUGUCAGUAAUUCCCCAGCAGACCAGUCUGGUAUACGCGCUGGAGACUUCCUUAUUUCAGUGAAUGGAUUGUCUGUUUCGAAGAUGGCACACGACGCGGUCGUUAGCCUUAUUGGGAACUGUAUCGGGCCUAUAAAAAUGACCAUAGCUGAGAAUUACUACUCAGAUAGUAGUGACGAAGAGUGUGGUCGAAUGGCUAAUGUUCGAAAACCCAAACAUACUCACAAACCUAGACCAAGACUUCACAAACAGGACCAUGGCAGAGCUGAAAUGGACGUGAAUGACAACAGUUUGGUAAACAUGCAAGAAUCCAUCCUGAAACAAGUCACCAAAGACUCACGACUCAACGGGAGCCAUUGUGUUUAUUUGAAUAACUCUUCCACGAACCCUGUUGAGGAAGAGGCUGGGCCGGUAGAAUACAAAGCUUUGGUUGGAUACUUAGGAACAAUCGAAAUGCCCAAACAGCUGUUGCCCAAUUCCAGGCUACAGACGGUUUGCAGCUGCAUAAAGAAGUUACGGCAAGAAAAAAGAACUCCCACCGCAGUUUUAAUGACUAUAUUGCCAACUUGCCUUACAUUGAAAAAUGCUGCUAAUCACAUUCUUGCAUUAUACCCUACUAACCGUGUUGUUUACGUUGGCUCAACUGCAGACCGUGAAUCUAGAUAUUUCGGGUUGGUAACCAGCGCUGUUUGUGACAUGAGGAGUACUGAGGCUUUAGGUAAACAGUGCAGUAAUAGUUCAUGGCACACAAAACCAAACAAUCUUGAUAAUUCGAUUGCUAUUUCAAAUAGCUGCCAUGUUUUCGUGACGGAUCCGAAGAUCGUUGAUCAUAAUCUACACCAGAAGAAGGCUGAGACUUUCAGAAUCAACUGUACGCCUAAUGAUGUUACGGGAUACUGCCUGGAGUUUCCUUGCAGCUCUCUCUACAUUGUCAGCCUUAUACAAAACAUGUACCAACUACAAAAUAAUGACAAGGUUAUUGAAAACCACGGUCCUGUUAUGGCAAAUUCCCCUCAGCCAAGCGCCUCAAGUAACUCUGAUUCUGGCAUUGGCUUCAGAGAUGAUUGCGGAAAUAUCAGCGAUCGAAUAUUAGUAGUAGAGUUUCCAACUCAGCGACCUUUACCUUUUUCAGGCGUAAAUAACAGACCGACUGGGAUAGAUGCUUCUAGUGUGCCUCUCAAUAGUUUAGAUCGACCUUCAAGUAACGACCAACUGUUUUCCAUUCGUCAGAACAGUCUUGCUUUAAAUAAAAUGGCUACCACUGAUAAGAGUGUAGAUAAGUAUUCUAACAACCUCAGCAAUAUAAGAGCUUGUGAAAGUGUUGAAAAUUCUACAGGGAUAGUCGAUUCAAAAAGUGAUAGGUUGCUGAGCCGAAAUGAUAAUUCAAAGAGGCUGACAUGUCGGGUGAUGCCUGCUUUAAAUGUACUGCCAAACCAGACUUUCAACAUUGAGAAGCAAGGUGAUGGUGAAAUAAAUGGGCAUGGGUACACAGAACGACCUGUUGAUGUUCCAGACUCAAGCCCUAGUAAAAAAUCCUAUGAGUGCAUAUCUUUACAUUCUUUACAGAAUGAUAUUGACUUAAAAAGUGGUUCUAUAGACAACAUUUCCUCUCAAAGUUCCAAAAGUAGCGAGUUUUUCAACUUGCUCAACAUAUUCAAAGUGCCCUUUGAAAGUAGGAAAUCCAAAAAACAAUUGAAAAUGAGUAGUAUGGACAAUUUGGACAAAUACAGUGAGAACAUUAUGAACUAUAAGUUGAGCCCAAAAGUAUUUGGGCUGUCGAAACCAACAUACAGUUGUGAAGACUUGAAAAAUUAUGAAAUUGUUGAUAAGAGUGCUUAUGGCAGUUUAAAAGAUUUGUGGAGCCCAUGCGAUCAACAAAUUGACCGAAAUCUGGCUCAGAGUGAACCUGAUGUUAGGGUUUUUAAUAAUUUGAGAUGGAAACCAUAUGGGUGCUGGUCUGGUGGUGGCGAUGCGGCCGUCCUUCAAGCGAAUCAAUUCGUUCAGGAGAUCGGGGUCACAGCGGCUGCCGAGGAGGCCCGCCUCCAUCUACGCUCCUCCAGACGUCGUCCCCCAGUUCGAUCAGAAUGUGUUCGCCAAAUGCACCAACCCGGAGGGACCUGUCGCUUGGGCUCAAUCGUUCGAGAAACUUCUAGAGGAUUCGCUCGGACUUCAUAUGUUUGCGGAGUUUCUCAAAAAAGAAUUCAGCGCGGAAAACAUCUACUUCUGGACGGCAUGCGAAAGGUUCAAGAAAUUACCACCUGGGAUCGAAAAACAAGCUGAAGCACGCAGGAUUUACGAGCAACACCUCAGCGUCGGAUCUCUCGAAGCCGUUAACGUAGACUCACAAGGAAGGCAGUUCACCGAACAAGUCCUCCAAGAAAUGAAUAACAAUAUGUUCGAUCAAGCCCAGAAACAAAUCUUCAAUCUAAUGAAAUUCGAUAGCUAUCCGAGGUUCUUGAAAUCUGAUAUUUACAAGCAGUGCUUGUUGGGAGAGGUGGAUAAGGCAACGAUUGAUACUAGGUUACUUUUGGAACAGCA
Molecule: unclassified non-coding RNA, 2980 nt
Filed under: Leptinotarsa decemlineata (Colorado potato beetle)
Lineage: Eukaryota; Metazoa; Arthropoda; Insecta; Coleoptera; Chrysomelidae
Description: regulator of G-protein signaling loco, transcript variant X2
Source: RNAcentral